UGGCAUGAGAGCUGUGGUCACCAGGGAAAGCAUGAAAGAAUAUACCACACCAGCACAAAGUUAUUCAGGAAAAAUCUGUAAAGAAAAAAUAAGUGUCUGAGACUGCAAGGCAGCUGUUUCAAAUAAUAAAAUAUCAUUUGCAUCUCUGCUGAGGGUUUUGGUUCUGUCGACUGGUUGUGUCCCAUGCAUUUUUCCUGAACUUGCUGCUCAUUUUUUUGAGCUUAGCCAGUUACGAUUAAACCAUCAAGUAGGUACACUUGUUUGUUUCAGAUAUAUGAGAGACAGUAAAGCUUCAUUUCAAAUAGAGAUGCCCAAGAGGAAAAGGUUAGAAAGUGUUGUGCAAAGCUGUGAAAUUCUGACUAGCAAUUUAAAGUGGAAUCAGACAAUUCAGUGUGAAUAGGGG
RNAcentral lists this long non-coding RNA (403 nucleotides) under Bos taurus (domestic cattle). RNAcentral's name for it is "long non-coding RNA NONBTAT018533". The record is from RNAcentral. Lineage: Eukaryota; Metazoa; Chordata; Mammalia; Artiodactyla; Bovidae.